UACGAAGGGGGCUAGCGUUGCUCGGAAUCACUGGGCGUAAAGCGCACGUAGGCGGAUCUUUAAGUCAGAGGUGAAAUCCUGGAGCUCAACUCCAGAACUGCCUUUGAUACUGAAAGUCUUGAGUAUGGGAGAGGUGAGUGGAACUGCGAGUGUAGAGGUGAAAUUCGUAGAUAUUCGCAAGAACACCAGUGGCGAAGGCGGCUCACUGGCCCAUAACUGACGCUGAGGCACGAAAGCGUGGGGAGCAAACAGG
This 253-nucleotide ribosomal RNA is filed under the name uncultured bacterium. RNAcentral describes it as "partial 16S ribosomal RNA". It matches the Rfam family "Bacterial small subunit ribosomal RNA", at positions 524 to 776 of the family's 1533-position model. The record is from RNAcentral.